GCACUCACUUCAGCAGCACAUAUACUAAAAUUGAAAUGACACAGAGAAAAUUAGGAUGGCCUGUUAAAGGAUGACACACAAAUUUGUGAAGGAUUCCAUGUUUUU
Molecule: small nuclear RNA, 105 nt
Organism: Callithrix jacchus (white-tufted-ear marmoset)
Lineage: Eukaryota; Metazoa; Chordata; Mammalia; Primates; Cebidae
Source: Ensembl